CUAAGUGAAUGCAUAGCCGGACAAAAUUAUGACACAUUUUGUAUGAAAAAGGGGCAUAACUCUGUUAAAAAGGGCUAAAGUGGCAUAAUUUGUUUAAAAGGACUACUUGGGGAAAAUCACAACACCAUAUGGUCUUUUAACUAUACACCAAUUUUGUGAAAAACUAACUUCGUUGCGGGGGGUAUAAUUAAUUGAUUACUGAUUUACCACCUAAAUGAACCCCCUGUCUGUUGCUAGGUUACAUCUCCCUGGCUUUAGUCAGUGUUUUGUCAGCUUUAGUUAGUUACUGGUUUACCACCUAUAUGACCCCGCCUAUUGCUAGGUUACAUCUCCCUGGCUAUAGUCAGUGUUUUGUCAGCUUUAGUUAGUUACUGGUUUACCACCUAUAUGACUCUCUCUGUUGCUACGUUACAUCUCCCUGGCUAUAGUCAGUGUUUUGUCAGCUUUAGUUAGUUACUGGUUUACCACCUAUAUGACCCCCCUGUUUGUUGCUAGGUUACAUCUCCCUGGCUAUAGUCAAUGUUUUGUCAGCUUUAGUUAGUUACUGGUUUACCACCUAUAUGACUCUCUCUGUUGCUAGGUUACAUCUCCCUGGCUAUAGUCAGUGUUCUGUCAGCUUUAGUUACUUACUCUGACUCUGUCUGUUGCUAGGUUUUGUCUCUAUGGCUAUAAUCUGUUUGACAGAUCCACAUCUAAGUUAGGGGAUUCCCCCACUGAGAUAUAUGAGGCGGUAUGUAUUCAUUCAUCAUGAUUAUGUUGUCAGACAUGUAGUUUUACUGACGACGCCUGUUAUAUCAGUUGUUUCUGUGUAUUUUUCAGAAGUCUUGUUUACUUUGUCAAUAAUUCUUUAUACAUUUUUAUCUGUAACAUGUACUGACCUUUCAUGUCAUGCUUGUUGUCGUUCAUGUCAUUUCAUUGACAUUUCAGGGUCAGCUGGGGUCAUUAGAAUACUUAAAAAUCAGCAUCCAAACAAUUUACAUUUUAGGCUUUUGUGUGGGGCGAAGGACUGCCAAGUUUCUUAAAAUGAGUAACCUUGACUUCCAAAGUCAUCAGAGUCAAAUUUGUGCACAUAUUUAAUAAACUGCUUCUCAAUAACCAAAUUAAAGAUUCUGGGUGAUAUUGGCCCACUGGCAUGAUUGUGUGAAGGGCUAUCAAGUUUGUUCUAAUAAAUGACCUUGGGUUACUUUCAAGGCCACUGGGGUCAAAUGUGGUUAAGACUUUAAACAACUUCUCAAUAAUCAAGAGGCCCAGGGACACAUUAUUUGGCCAGUAGCAUGCUCAUCGCUGGGGAAAAGGCUUAUCAAGUUUGUUUAAAAAUGACCUUUAAAUACUUUCAAGGUUUAAAGUGCUAAAGACUUUAAAAGUACUUCUCAAUAACAAAGAGGUCCAGGGCCAUGGUGCUGGGCCAGUAGUACAUUGAGAUGAAACACUCCCAAGUACCUUUCAAGUUGUUCAAAUGAAAGACCUUGACCUACUUUCAAAGUCACUGUUGUGAGAUGUGAUAAAAAAUUAAAUGACUUAACCGCAAAAACAUAGGGUCAUUAUAUUGUAGAAUGCCUGGAUGAAAUGCCACUUGCUCCAGGUUUGCUCAAUUUAAUGACAUUGACCUGCUUUUAAGGUCACCGGGGUCAAAUAUGUUAAAUUCUUUAAAAAAAAAAAAUGAAAAAAAAAUCAUCAACUACCAGCAUAUACAGGUCGCAAGUGACCGUUAAGGACUAUAGGUCACUUGAAUAGACUGGUCUUAUUCUGAUGUUCUACAGUAUUCCGGCGCUUGCGCAUGCGUCUACUUCAUGUGAGAAUUGUAAGAGAACCCUGUUACCACGAAAUAACAUUUUGCUUCAAGUACGUGUAAUCGGCCGUGGAUUAAACCAGAAAUAGCUGUCUAAACUUGUUUUUAUAGUUAGUAUAAGUAGAUAUGAAAGUACAAAUUAUUUCACAUGUUUUUGCCAAUAUUAUUGCGACAAAUCUUCGAUCUACGUGCAGUACCAAAACGUUCAAGGACUCUUAUGAGAAACUUCGGGACUUCAGGUGCUGUAGAAAUAUUUCCAGUAAUUCAUUCAUAGAUAAAUCUUAUGUUCCGCAUUGUAUAAGAGUUUGUUAUAUAUUAAAAGGCAAAUUACAAAUACAGUGUAAGCAUCCAAAUCUACCAAAACAGUCAUGAAAAAUCCUCUACAUCCGGCAGCUGGGGUUCUGGACGUGAUGGUGGCCAGAGAGAAGGCAAAUCUCCAUUAUUUCUCUUAAAGCAUUUCUAUUUUCUGAUUCUCAUUCAAAAUUCCAUGCUCAGGUUAUUUUGGUAAAUUAUCAGUUUAAUCUAUCACUGUGUUGUUAAACCGUUGUGUAUGUUUGUAUAUAAUAAAUGUACAUGUAUUUCCAUAAAAUUACUUGUGUGAUUAAAAUUGUGCAGUAAACAUUUGAAUUGAAUUAUAAUAACAUAAAGGAAUCGUCGACCCCGUUAUCUGCAUCAAUGCUGUAAACCAUCUUCGAUACUCAAAGUAUCACUCUGGGUAAUGGUCACAUUCGCUCACUCCUAAUGUUACUAGAGGGCAUGUGAUCCUAACCCCAGGGGUAAUGGUCACAUUCGCUCACUCCUGUGGUUACUAGAGGGCAUGUGAUCCUAACCCCAGGGGUAACGUUCACAUUCGCUCACUCCUGAGGUUACUAGAGGGUAUGUGAUCCUAACCUCAGGGGUAACGUUCACAUUCGCUCACUCCUGACGUUACUAGAGGGCAUGUGACCCUAACCCCAGGGGUAACGUUCACAUUCGCUCGCUCCUGUGGUUACUAGAGGGUAUGUGAUCCUAACCCCAGGGAUAGCGGUCACAUUCGCUCACUCCUGAGGUUACUAGAGGGCAUGUGAUCCUAACCCCAGGUGUAACGGUCACAUUCGCUCACUCCUGUGGUUACUAGAGGGUAUGUGAUCCUAACCCCAGGUGUAACGGUCACAUUCGCUCACUCCUGAGGUUACUAGAGGGUAUGUGAUCCUAACCCCUGGGGUAACGUUCACAUUCGCUCACUCCUGAGGUUACUAGAGGGCAUGUGAUCCUAACCCCUGGGGUAACGGUCACAUUCGCUCACUCCUGAUGUUACUAGAGGGCAUGUGAUCCUAACCCCAGGAGUAUCGAGGAUAGUUGUUAACAGAUUUGAGAAAGCAAAGCCUUCCAUUGGGAUGUUUUUCGGACUGAAUGAGCAGAUACAAAAUAAAUAAAUAUAUGAUAUUGUAUCAUUA
Pecten maximus is the source of this 3225-nucleotide long non-coding RNA. RefSeq lists it as uncharacterized. The transcript is spliced from 2 exons. The record is from RefSeq and is a predicted model, not a curated record. NCBI's taxonomy places the organism in Eukaryota, Metazoa, Mollusca, Bivalvia, Pectinida, Pectinidae.